RNAcentral lists this transfer RNA (71 nucleotides) under Camelus bactrianus (Bactrian camel). It matches the Rfam family "tRNA". From Rfam's summary of the family: Transfer RNA (tRNA) molecules are approximately 80 nucleotides in length. Their secondary structure includes four short double-helical elements and three loops (D, anti-codon, and T loops). Further hydrogen bonds mediate the characteristic L-shaped molecular structure. tRNAs have two regions of fundamental functional importance: the anti-codon, which is responsible for specific mRNA codon recognition, and the 3' end, to which the tRNAs corresponding amino acid is attached (by aminoacyl-tRNA synthetases). tRNAs cope with the degeneracy of the genetic code in two manners: having more than one tRNA (with a specific anti-codon) for a particular amino acid; and 'wobble' base-pairing, i.e. permitting non-standard base-pairing at the 3rd anti-codon position. The record is from Rfam by way of RNAcentral. RNAcentral also lists the same sequence under 2 other names. Lineage: Eukaryota; Metazoa; Chordata; Mammalia; Artiodactyla; Camelidae.
GAGGAUAUAGCUCAGUGGUAAAGCAUGUGCUUAGUAUGCAUGAGGUCCUGGGUUCAGCCCCCAGUACCUCA